RNAcentral lists this unclassified non-coding RNA (325 nucleotides) under uncultured fungus. RNAcentral's name for it is "partial contains 5.8S ribosomal RNA and internal transcribed spacer 2". The stretch from base 1 to 133 matches the Rfam family "5.8S ribosomal RNA", at positions 22 to 154 of the family's 154-position model. Lineage: Eukaryota; Fungi. The record is from RNAcentral.
UGGUUCUGGCAUCGAUGAAGAACGCAGCGAAAUGCGAUAAGUAGUGUGAAUUGCAGAAUUCAGUGAAUCAUCGAAUCUUUGAACGCACAUUGCGCCCUUUGGUAUUCCUUAGGGCAUGCCUGUUCGAGCGUCAUCUAACCCUUCAAGCACUGCUUGGUGUUGGGCGUUUGUCCCGCCUCGGGCGUGGACUCGCCUCAAAGACAUUGGCGGCCUGUGUAUUGGCUUCGAGCGCAGCAGACUCGCGCGUCGACUCCUCUUGCACUAGGUGUCCAGCAAGCCUACAACCCCCAAGUUUGACCUCGGAUCAGGUAGGGAUACCCGCUGA